AAGUCGUAACAAGGUUUCCGUAGGUGAACCUGCGGAAGGAUCAUUAACACGUUCCAAACGUAUCAACCAAACCGCGAACUCUGACGUUAGUAACCUCUCUUCAGUUUUCGGACUGAGGAGACGGUUGCGCCUGAGCAUUGUUAGGGGAAAGUGCUGUUUAGGAGCCUUGUGCUCCUCUACAGAGGCUUCCUUUAGCACUGUUCAUAUUAACCCAAACCUUAUUUGUUGUUCAUUUCUUCUGUUCUAAAGGACGUGGCGUUCAAUCGCUAUUGUCUCUUUAUUACAAACUUGUACAACUCUUAGCAACGGAUGUCUUGGUUUCC
RNAcentral lists this unclassified non-coding RNA (323 nucleotides) under fungal sp. RNAcentral's name for it is "partial internal transcribed spacer region". The stretch from base 1 to 46 matches the Rfam family "Eukaryotic small subunit ribosomal RNA", at positions 1786 to 1831 of the family's 1831-position model. Lineage: Eukaryota; Fungi. The record is from RNAcentral.